This 403-nucleotide ribosomal RNA is filed under the name uncultured bacterium. RNAcentral's name for it is "partial 16S ribosomal RNA". It matches the Rfam family "Bacterial small subunit ribosomal RNA", at positions 30 to 526 of the family's 1533-position model. The record is from RNAcentral.
AUUGAACGCUGGCGGCAGGCCUAACACAUGCAAGUCGAGCGAGCGUCGGACGGGUGAGUAAUGUAUGGGGACUGCCCGAUAGAGGGGGAUAACUACUGGAAACGGUGGCUAAUACCGCCUACUGUCGGAUAACCCAUAUGUGAUUAGCUAGUAGGUAAGGUAAUGGCUUACCUAGGCGACGAUCCCUAGCUGGUCUGAGAGGAUGAUCAGCAACAGUGGAACUGAGACACGGCACAGACUCCUACGGAGGCAGAAGGGGGGAAUAGUGCACAAUGGGCGCAAGCCUGAUGCAGACAUGCCGCGUGUAUGAAGAAGGCCCUAGGGUUGUAAAGUACUUUCAGUCGGGAGGCGUUACCGACAGAAGAAGCACCGGCUAACUCCGUGCCAGCAGCCGCGGUAAUUC